GUCUACGGCCACACCUAGGCGAAAACACCAGUUCCCGUCCGAUCACUGCAGUUAAGCGUCUGAGGGUCUCGUUAGUACUAUGGUUGGAGACAACAUGGGAAUCCGGGGUGCUGUAGGCU
This 119-nucleotide ribosomal RNA is filed under the name Schizosaccharomyces octosporus yFS286. Lineage: Eukaryota; Fungi; Ascomycota; Schizosaccharomycetes; Schizosaccharomycetales; Schizosaccharomycetaceae. The record is from RNAcentral.